GAUGAACGCUGGCGGCGUGCCUAAUACAUGCAAGUCGAGCGAACAGACGAGGAGCUUGCUCCUCUGACGUUAGCGGCGGACGGGUGAGUAACACGUGGAUAACCUACCUAUAAGACUGGGAUAACUUCGGGAAACCGGAGCUAAUACCGGAUAAUAUAUUGAACCGCAUGGUUCAAUAGUGAAAGACGGUUUUGCUGUCACUUAUAGAUGGAUCCGCGCCGCAUUAGCUAGUUGGUAAGGUAACGGCUUACCAAGGCAACGAUGCGUAGCCGACCUGAGAGGGUGAUCGGCCACACUGGAACUGAGACACGGUCCAGACUCCUACAGGAGGCAGCAGUAGGGAAUCUUCCGCAAUGGGCGAAAGCCUGACGGAGCAACGCCGCGUGAGGGAUGAAGGUCUUCGGAUCGUAAAACUCUGUUAUUAGGGAAGAACAAAUGUGUAAGUAACUAUGCACGUCUUGACGGUACCUAAUCAGAAAGCCACGGCUAACUACGUG
Molecule: ribosomal RNA, 497 nt
Filed under: uncultured bacterium
Lineage: Bacteria
Description: partial 16S ribosomal RNA
Rfam family: Bacterial small subunit ribosomal RNA
Source: RNAcentral